GACGAACGCUGGCGGCGUGCUAAUACAUGCAAGUAGAACGCUGAAGAGAGGAGCUUGCUCUUCUGGAUGAGUUGCGAACGGGUGAGUAACGCGUAGGUAACCUGCCUUGUAGCGGGGGAUAACUAUUGGAAACGAUAGCUAAUACCGCAUAACAAUGAGUGACACAUGUCAUUUAUUUGAAAGGGGCAAUUGCUCCACUACAAGAUGGACCUGCGUUGUAUUAGCUAGUAGGUGAGGUAACGGCUCACCUAGGCGACGAUACAUAGCCGACCUGAGAGGGUGAUCGGCCACACUGGGACUGAGACACGGCCCAGACUCCUACGGGAGGCAGCAGUAGGGAAUCUUCGGCAAUGGGGGCAACCCUGACCGAGCAACGCCGCGUGAGUGAAGAAGGUUUUCGGAUCGUAAAGCUCUGUUGUAAGUCAAGAACGAGUGUGAGAGUGGAAAGUUCACACUGUGACGGUAGCUUACCAGAAAGGGACGGCUAACUACGUGCCAGCAGCCGCGGUAAUACGUAGGUCCCGAGCGUUGUCCGGAUUUAUUGGGCGUAAAGCGAGCGCAGGCGGUUUGAUAAGUCUGAAGUUAAAGGCUGUGGCUCAACCAUAGUUCGCUUUGGAAACUGUCAAACUUGAGUGCAGAAGGGGAGAGUGGAAUUCCAUGUGUAGCGGUGAAAUGCGUAGAUAUAUGGAGGAACACCGGUGGCGAAAGCGGCUCUCUGGUCUGUAACUGACGCUGAGGCUCGAAAGCGUGGGGAGCGAACAGG
RNAcentral lists this ribosomal RNA (763 nucleotides) under uncultured Streptococcus sp. RNAcentral's name for it is "bacterial SSU rRNA". It matches the Rfam family "Bacterial small subunit ribosomal RNA", at positions 28 to 776 of the family's 1533-position model. Lineage: Bacteria; Bacillati; Bacillota; Bacilli; Lactobacillales; Streptococcaceae. The record is from RNAcentral.